Molecule: long non-coding RNA, 296 nt
Filed under: Phoenix dactylifera (date palm)
Lineage: Eukaryota; Viridiplantae; Streptophyta; Magnoliopsida; Arecales; Arecaceae
Description: long non-coding RNA (PDAC_LNC010117)
Source: RNAcentral
ACCGCCCUGCAUCCACCAGUCCUAUCCCAACCCUCACAUGAAGUAUUGUUAGCCCAAACCAAAAUACUGGGGUAGUCCAACCAGAUAAACCAGCCACCUGCCCACGCCCAGCACAAGCUAGUUUAAAACUCAAAUAUUAAAACAAAUCUUGCUGAACUCCACCCUGUUGACAGUCAAUUGAAUCGGUUCUCGACUUCUAUAAUAACUAUAAGGACUAGUAUUCCUCAAGAUUUUUCUGCUAUAUUAGAUGUGUUAUUUACUAUCAUCUUUAAGAAUAAGGAUUAGACUUGCCAUAU